GAGAAAGCAAUGUCGUUAAAUUGCCUUGUGAACGAACACUAAGGGAUUACACAAACACUGUUCACCCAAGUACUGGCUUUCACAAGGCUGUGUUUGACGAUUUGAAGCAUCAAGUAGAAAAGCUAAAUGACAUCCAAAAAUAUGUUGUUCUUAUGCUGGAUGAGGUAUCAAUAAAAGAUGAUCUUGUAUACGACAAAGUAACUGGGGAGUUAGUUGGCUUUGUAAACAUCGGCAAUGAUGUCGAUGAUUGCCACGUAAUUCGAAAUAAAGAAGAGAGCAUCAAAACAGCAAAUGUUGCUACCCAUGCUCUUGUUUUCAUGGUGACAAGUAUUGCAUCUCGUUUGAAAUUUAGUUUGGGUUACUUUGCAACAACAAC
Molecule: non-coding RNA, 376 nt
Organism: Paramuricea clavata
Lineage: Eukaryota; Metazoa; Cnidaria; Anthozoa; Malacalcyonacea; Plexauridae
Source: the annotation of a GenBank genome assembly